RNAcentral lists this ribosomal RNA (1593 nucleotides) under Staphylococcus aureus H49831. RNAcentral describes it as "bacterial LSU rRNA". It matches the Rfam family "Bacterial large subunit ribosomal RNA", at positions 1334 to 2925 of the family's 2925-position model. Lineage: Bacteria; Bacillati; Bacillota; Bacilli; Caryophanales; Staphylococcaceae. The record is from RNAcentral.
CCACCGAUUGACUAAGGUUUCCAGAGGAAGGCUCGUCCGCUCUGGGUUAGUCGGGUCCUAAGCUGAGGCCGACAGGCGUAGGCGAUGGAUAACAGGUUGAUAUUCCUGUACCACCUAUAAUCGUUUUAAUCGAUGGGGGGACGCAGUAGGAUAGGCGAAGCGUGCGAUUGGAUUGCACGUCUAAGCAGUAAGGCUGAGUAUUAGGCAAAUCCGGUACUCGUUAAGGCUGAGCUGUGAUGGGGAGAAGACAUUGAGUCUUCGAGUCGUUGAUUUCACACUGCCGAGAAAAGCCUCUAGAUAGAAAAUAGGUGCCCGUACCGCAAACCGACACAGGUAGUCAAGAUGAGAAUUCUAAGGUGAGCGAGCGAACUCUCGUUAAGGAACUCGGCAAAAUGACCCCGUAACUUCGGGAGAAGGGGUGCUCUUUAGGGUUAACGCCCAGAAGAGCCGCAGUGAAUAGGCCCAAGCGACUGUUUAUCAAAAACACAGGUCUCUGCUAAACCGUAAGGUGAUGUAUAGGGGCUGACGCCUGCCCGGUGCUGGAAGGUUAAGAGGAGUGGUUAGCUUCUGCGAAGCUACGAAUCGAAGCCCCAGUAAACGGCGGCCGUAACUAUAACGGUCCUAAGGUAGCGAAAUUCCUUGUCGGGUAAGUUCCGACCCGCACGAAAGGCGUAACGAUUUGGGCACUGUCUCAACGAGAGACUCGGUGAAAUCAUAGUACCUGUGAAGAUGCAGGUUACCCGCGACAGGACGGAAAGACCCCGUGGAGCUUUACUGUAGCCUGAUAUUGAAAUUCGGCACAGCUUGUACAGGAUAGGUAGGAGCCUUUGAAACGUGAGCGCUAGCUUACGUGGAGGCGCUGGUGGGAUACUACCCUAGCUGUGUUGGCUUUCUAACCCGCACCACUUAUCGUGGUGGGAGACAGUGUCAGGCGGGCAGUUUGACUGGGGCGGUCGCCUCCUAAAAGGUAACGGAGGCGCUCAAAGGUUCCCUCAGAAUGGUUGGAAAUCAUUCAUAGAGUGUAAAGGCAUAAGGGAGCUUGACUGCGAGACCUACAAGUCGAGCAGGGUCGAAAGACGGACUUAGUGAUCCGGUGGUUCCGCAUGGAAGGGCCAUCGCUCAACGGAUAAAAGCUACCCCGGGGAUAACAGGCUUAUCUCCCCCAAGAGUUCACAUCGACGGGGAGGUUUGGCACCUCGAUGUCGGCUCAUCGCAUCCUGGGGCUGUAGUCGGUCCCAAGGGUUGGGCUGUUCGCCCAUUAAAGCGGUACGCGAGCUGGGUUCAGAACGUCGUGAGACAGUUCGGUCCCUAUCCGUCGUGGGCGUAGGAAAUUUGAGAGGAGCUGUCCUUAGUACGAGAGGACCGGGAUGGACAUACCUCUGGUGUACCAGUUGUCGUGCCAACGGCAUAGCUGGGUAGCUAUGUGUGGACGGGAUAAGUGCUGAAAGCAUCUAAGCAUGAAGCCCCCCUCAAGAUGAGAUUUCCCAACUUCGGUUAUAAGAUCCCUCAAAGAUGAUGAGGUUAAUAGGUUCGAGGUGGAAGCAUGGUGACAUGUGGAGCUGACGAAUACUAAUCGAUCGAAGACUUAAUCAA